AUAAAAUUAAAGAGCAGAAGAAAACAGCUGUCAAGCGCUUUGGCAGCAAGAAAUUUUGUACUGUAGUAAAAACUGAAAAGAGCGCUGUUUUCUCACUCUCACAUUCACACAUUUCUCAUUCCCACGACUCAUCAUCAGCUUCGCUAGCCGCUAGGGUUUUACCUCCGAUCCAACUCGCCGGGUCCACUCUCCAAUCUCAAAUUUUUUUGAAAUACAUGCGGUGGAAAAGUGUGAAAAUGUAGGUAAGUUUGUUUGAAAGGUGAGAAUUGAUGUUUGAACUUGGUGACCAAACAGGCCCCAACCCCAAAACCCUUUUUUCUCUCUUUCUUUGAAGCUUGAAGGAACUAGCAAUGUCAGACAACUUACCUGAACUCACCAAGUCCUUCACUGAAGAUUUACCCAACGAAGAAGAAUCGGUUUUGGACUGUCUGCCUCCCGAAAUCCUACCAGAAAUUCUCAUUCGACUGCCUACAAAAGCCAUCAUCAAGUGCACCUCCGUCUGCAAGACAUGGAAAUCACUCAUCCAAAGCCACAAGCCCAGAAAGUUCAAAACCAGAAAAUCAUCAAAUCCCAGAAGCCACAACCCACACUUCUUCAAUCACCAAACUCGCUUUGAAACCCAGAGCACGACCACCACACUUCUUAAAUCACCACCCUCAUUCAGUUAAUCUUCAACCAAAGCGCCACCUUGAACCCAUUUCAACUUCACUGGUUUUGCGUUGGGCCGCCGCCAACCAUGCCGUGACAGCAACCGAAUAAAUACAAGGCCGAUCUGCAAGUCAAGAGUCAAGAUCCAAAUCAAUAAAAAGGCUGAUCUGCCUCGUGACGGAGGUGGAGGACUGGCCAGAGGGAUGAGGAAGAUGAUGCAGCGGUGGAGGGCAUAGAGCUGAAGGCUAAAGCUCUCUGGUCUACAAAUUGUUUUGAUUUUGAUUUUUGGGGUUUCAAGGGAAUAAUGGUUGAUUGGCUUCAAAAUGGUUCAGAUUUGGGUUAAUCUCAAAAACAACUUGGAUGUGGGCUUCGACAAUGUAUGUGGGUUUUGGAAAUUUGGUACAGAUUAAGGUUAUUUUCUUUCUACCAA
Quercus robur (English oak) is the source of this 1078-nucleotide long non-coding RNA. RefSeq lists it as uncharacterized. The transcript is spliced from 2 exons. The record is from RefSeq and is a predicted model, not a curated record. NCBI's taxonomy places the organism in Eukaryota, Viridiplantae, Streptophyta, Magnoliopsida, Fagales, Fagaceae.